GACGAACGCUGGCGGCGUGCUUAACACAUGCAAGUCGAACGGUGAAGCGCCUUCCUUUUUGGUUGGUGUGGAUGAGUGGCGAACGGGUGAGUAACACGUGAGUAACCUGCCCCCUUCUUCUGGAUAACCGCAUGAAAGUGUGGCUAAUACGGGAUAUUCUGGGUCUGUCGCAUGAUGGGUCUGGGAAAGAUAUUGUUUCGGUGGGGGAUGGGCUCGCGGCCUAUCAGCUUGUUGGUGGGGUGAUGGCCUACCAAGGCGGUGACGGGUAGCCGGCCUGAGAGGGUGGACGGUCACACUGGGACGGAGCCACGGCGCAGACUACUACGGGAGGCAGCAGUGGGGAAUAGUGAACAAUGGGCGCAAGCCUGAUGCAGCGACGCCGCGUGAGGGAUGGAGGCCUUCGGGUUGUGAACCUCUUUCGGCAGUGAAGCAGGCCUGCCUCGUUUGUGGGUGGGUUGACGGUAGCUGGAUAAGAAGCGCCGGCUAACUACGUG
This 494-nucleotide ribosomal RNA is filed under the name uncultured bacterium. Its description in RNAcentral is "partial 16S ribosomal RNA". It matches the Rfam family "Bacterial small subunit ribosomal RNA", at positions 28 to 507 of the family's 1533-position model. The record is from RNAcentral.